This 1437-nucleotide ribosomal RNA is filed under the name uncultured organism. RNAcentral's name for it is "partial small subunit ribosomal RNA". It matches the Rfam family "Bacterial small subunit ribosomal RNA". The record is from RNAcentral.
UUGCGGCGUGCUUAACACAUGCAAGUCGAACGGAAAGGCCCUGCUUUUGUGGGGUGCUCGAGUGGCGAACGGGUGAGUAACACGUGAGUAACCUGCCCUUGACUUUGGGAUAACUUCAGGAAACUGGGGCUAAUACCGGAUAGGAGCUCCUGCUGCAUGGUGGGGGUUGGAAAGUUUCGGCGGUUGGGGAUGGACUCGCGGCUUAUCAGCUUGUUGGUGGGGUAGUGGCUUACCAAGGCUUUGACGGGUAGCCGGCCUGAGAGGGUGACCGGCCACAUUGGGACUGAGAUACGGCCCAGACUCCUACGGGAGGCAGCAGUGGGGAAUAUUGCACGAUGGGCGGAAGCCUGAUGCAGCAACGCCGCGUGCGGGAUGACGGCCUUCGGGUUGUAAACCGCUUUCGCCUGUGACGAAGCGUGAGUGACGGUAAUGGGUAAAGAAGCACCGGCUAACUACGUGCCAGCAGCCGCGGUGAUACGUAGGGUGCGAGCGUUGUCCGGAUUUAUUGGGCGUAAAGGGCUCGUAGGUGGUUGAUCGCGUCGGAAGUGUAAUCUUGGGGCUUAACCCUGAGCGUGCUUUCGAUACGGGUUGACUUGAGGAAGGUAGGGGAGAAUGGAAUUCCUGGUGGAGCGGUGGAAUGCGCAGAUAUCAGGAGGAACACCAGUGGCGAAGGCGGUUCUCUGGGCCUUUCCUGACGCUGAGGAGCGAAAGCGUGGGGAGCGAACAGGCUUAGAUACCCUGGUAGUCCACGCUGUAAACGGUGGGUACUAGGUGUGGGGUCCAUUCCACGGGUUCCGUGCCGUAGCUAACGCUUUAAGUACCCCGCCUGGGGAGUACGGCCGCAAGGCUAAAACUCAAAGGAAUUGACGGGGCCCCGCACAAGCGGCGGAGCAUGCGGAUUAAUUCGAUGCAACGCGUAGAACCUUACCUGGGUUUGACAUGGAUCGGGAGUGCUCAGAGAUGGGUGUGCCUCUUUUGGGGUCGGUUCACAGGUGGUGCAUGGCUGUCGUCAGCUCGUGUCGUGAGAUGUUGGGUUAAGUCCCGCAACGAGCGCAACCCUUGUUCACUGUUGCCAACACGUUAUGGUGGGGACUCAGUGGAGACCGCCGGGGUCAACUCGGAGGAAGGUGGGGAUGACGUCAAGUCAUCAUGCCCCUUAUGUCCAGGGCUUCACGCAUGCUACAAUGGCUGGUACAGAGAGUGGCGAGCCUGUGAGGGUGAGCGAAUCUCGGAAAGCCGGUCUCAGUUCGGAUUGGGGUCUGCAACUCGACCUCAUGAAGUCGGAGUCGCUAGUAAUCGCAGAUCAGCAACGCUGCGGUGAAUACGUUCCCGGGGCUUGUACACACCGCCCGUCAAGUCAUGAAAGUUGGUAACACCCGAAGCCGGUGGCCUAACCGUUGUGGGGGAGCCGUCGAAGGUGGGACUGGUGAUUAGGAC